Arachis stenosperma is the source of this 1847-nucleotide long non-coding RNA. RefSeq lists it as uncharacterized. The record is from RefSeq and is a predicted model, not a curated record. NCBI's taxonomy places the organism in Eukaryota, Viridiplantae, Streptophyta, Magnoliopsida, Fabales, Fabaceae. The transcript is spliced from 3 exons.
CCACCUCUUCCUUCCCCCUCUUCUUUUCUCUUUUCAUCUCUCGCCAUUAAUUAGAUCUAUCUCCGAUCCCCCGAGCUACCUUAGUUUACUUAUUUUCUUUUGAGUACUUGUAUUCGAACCUCAGCUCCGAAGGCUGCCUUUGAAUUCCAUGAAUUUCUUUCAUGACUAUACUUUUCUGUCUCCGAUCUGUUUUUCUUUUGUUGAAGAUCGAUGAACAAUCACCGGGGGGCCUAGCAAACACAACACACACUCCUAACCACUCCCAGCAAGCCACGUCAGCAUCUCCCUCGUGGCCUUGCCGCUGCUAAAAAUUUACUCAUCUCAUCAGCAUAUAAAGUAAUCAUCAUAACAUCUGAUCUCAAUUGAUUAUUAUCUUUUCUUCUUUAUCUCUCUCUCUCUCUGUGUUUUUGAUUCUUCUGUACCCUACAACUACAACUACAGAAGUGUUAGGAGACGAGCUUCCUUGUGAUUGGUCUUUACUCUCUACUCUUUCUGAGUAAUCUAUACAUGAAGUUAUGCUGCAGCUUCUUCUACUUCGUAUGCACGUGUUUAAUUAGCAGGAAGUUGCAUGGGGAUGAAGAAAUCAAAGUAAAAGCAGUCGUUGUUUGCGGAUGUAGCAUCAUCAAGAUUCACAUGCUGCAACAAGUGCUAGCUUAUGAGAAUCUUGAUGAUGCUGCAUCGGCCAUAAACGACUUUAGUAGUGGGUAGGAGGUGGGAACUGGUGGAACAACAUCUUCACACACGAGAUCUAGAGGCACCAUCACCACAGAAAUUAAAUAUAUUUUAGGUAGUAAUGGACAUAUAUUCUUCCAAGUGGUUGGAUAUGCAUCUGGGAAUUAUAAGAUAUCACUGAAAAAUUGGAAGUUGGAUAUGCAAAUUAUCAAAGCGCAUACACUAUUGUCUGAUUUCUAUGAUCAACUAUCUUUUGCUCAAAGGUGGACCAACACCUAUAGAUGCUGCAACGUUGAACCAUUGUUAAGGAAUAUUUUCAUCUAAAUUUGGGGAGUCUAUAUAUACUUCCACCUCUCUAACCAUGCAUCUCCUACAUGCUGGUCCACAUGAAUCUUAUGUAAGUACUAGCUAAUUUCAUAUAUGUGUAUAUAAAUUGAGUUAAGCUAUAUUCUUCUCUACAUAUAUUUCCUUGCCUUUUAAUAGUAAUACAUAAAAAAAUAAACUAAAAAGUAAUAAGUGUAUGCUUUUUUAAUAGUUUGGCAUACAAAUGCACUUAAUACUCUUCUGUUUUAUAACUAGUAAUUAAAUAUGUGAUAUAAGAAACUGAGUUAAGUGUAUUAAGAAUAUUAUUUGUGCACUUCUUUAGCUGUACAAUUUAUUCAUCGGUAUCUUCAUAAACAGUGAGAAUUGAAACAAUACACAGUAGUUAGCAUCAGUGUCUUAAAAUCGGCCUUAUAAGUGCUUUACAAGUAACAUUUUUCUGUUCAUCUUAUCAUCUCUUUCACUUUCUUUACAUUAGUUUUGUAGGUUACUCUAUUUAAUCAAUAACCACCACCACCAUCUUAUUCACCAAAUUAAUAUGAUGAUCAGCACAUAAAUUAAAACAAAACAAAUGUCUUGCUUAUAGAAUAUCUAAAAAUUUCACGUAUCUAUAAUAAUAAUAAUCAUCUCUAAAUUUUCUUUUAUCAAACAUUAUUAAUUAGUUACACCUUUAGUUGAGAUUUAAAUUUAACUUCUACUGAAAUCAUAAUGUAUGCAUAUAUAUUUCUUCCUUGGUUCCGGCCAGCCAUGGUACAAAAAUUAUUGCAUUGAUAAUGCAUAAACUCAACUACUCUUCAUUCAUAAAUGUAUAAUAUUAUCUUGUUAUUCAAUACAACAAAAUAAGUCAAUAUAAA